Piliocolobus tephrosceles (Ugandan red Colobus) is the source of this 740-nucleotide RNA transcript. It is a transcript of the gene named histone deacetylase complex subunit SAP18 pseudogene, with no coding region annotated. The transcript has a single exon. NCBI's taxonomy places the organism in Eukaryota, Metazoa, Chordata, Mammalia, Primates, Cercopithecidae. The record is from RefSeq and is a predicted model, not a curated record.
AUGGCGGUGGAGUCGCGCAUUACCAAGGAGGAAAUUAAGAAGGAGCCAGAGAAGUCUAUCGAUCGCGAGAAAACAUGCCUGCGGCUGCUGAGCAUCUUCACCACCAAUAAUGGCCACCACCACCGAACGGACGAGUUCUCCCAGGGAAACGUACCAUCCAGAGAGUUGUAGAUCUACGUUUGGAUGGAUGCAACCUUUGAAAAACUGACAAACUUAGUAAAAGAAGUCUACCCAGAAGCUAGAAAGAAGGGCACUCACUUCAAUUUUGCAAUCGUUUUUACAGAUGUUGAAAGACUUGGCUAUCGAGUUAAGGAGGUUGGCAGCACCAUGUCUGGCAGAAAGGGGACUGAUGAUUCCAUGACACUGCAUUCGCAGAAGUUCCAGAUAGGUUACUUGGACAUAGCAAUUACUCCUCCACAUGGGGCACCACCUCCUUCAGGGCACAUGAGGCCAUAUUAAAUUCUAUUUACUAUUUCUUGUAUUUAUUUUUCGGUCAGUUAUGUAAAAUAAAUUUACUAUUUUUCCUCCCCGGAUUAUUGUCAUUAAGCCUUUGAAUUCUAAACAAAUUAUAAUGCAUCAUCUAUUGAGGAAUUAGAUUUGGAUGUGCUAUUGUAUGAUUACUAAUAGAAAGUCCAUAUGUUUCAAGCCUUUUUGUAAAAUAUGAAGAAAAGUGCUCUUAGCAUUCUAUGUAAAACUGUACUGUUAAAUAUAUGUGUGUAAUUAAAAAAAAGCAACAGAAA